This is a long non-coding RNA of Lolium perenne, 1072 nucleotides long. RefSeq lists it as uncharacterized. The record is from RefSeq and is a predicted model, not a curated record. Lineage: Eukaryota; Viridiplantae; Streptophyta; Magnoliopsida; Poales; Poaceae.
UUACACGCACCCUCGUCGCCACACACGCACUAGUCAAAACGCACGCAGCAACCAAACCCUACUCCUAUCGCGACAACGACUGCGGCGGCGGCGACGCGAACGGAGGCGAACAAAAGUUUCACUUGGCCUCUCUCCCCUUGACUCCCCCUCCUCCUCCGGCGAGUCCCUGCUUCCGUGCGGCGGCAGCGAUGGCUUCCUUCUCCGAGGCUCCCCCCGGCAACCCGGCCGCCGACGCCAAGAUCUUCAAGACCAAGUGCGCGCAGUGCCACACCAACGAGCAGCGCGCCGGCCACAAGCAAGGUCCUAACUCCGUCGCCCUUCCUCGACGCUGACGCCGCCAUGGAUCCCGAUCGAAGACCUAGCCGACGGAAGCUGAUGAUCUCCAGCAUCUCCCCGUUCCCCGUCUCCCUGUGUGGUGGUAGGGACGGGAUUCGAGGCAACGCGGUCGUGGCGUGGAUCCCCCGAUGGAUGCGCUGGAGGAGGCGAUGCGCCGCCCGGGCAUGGCAUCUAGGCCUCUGAUGGAGCGACUUGCGGUGCGGCCAUGGCGUCCGACCCUUGGGUCCCUGCGGCGGCGAGGUGGAGCAAAGGUAGGAGCGGCCGUGGCGCCGGCUCCCUGGAUCGAUUUGCGGCGAUGGGUGGGCGGGAGUGGUGGUUGGCUCGCAGCGGCGCCCGCGGCGCUUCACCGUCCGGUGGCUUGGACCCUCGAUCCGGCGAUUGCGACCGCUAGCAGUCACCUGCUCACGCGCAUCGUAGCUGGGAGCUGGGUCGGUUCGGCGGCCGUCGAGCCGGCGCCUACCGCAUCUGCACCAAGAUGCUGAAGGCCACCAGGAGGACACUGUCGAGCCCGGCCAGGCUGCUUGCUUCCCACAACCUAGUGGCACAGCAAUCAACGGAGGAGCGCAAAGAGAGGUUCUGACGAUCUGCCUAAGUUUUGGGCGUGGCUGAUGAAGAUGGUGGCCGGAAUUUUGAAUCUUGAAACUAGCUAAAUUUGUAACGGAUAUAAUAUAUAUGAGUUUAUUUGUAAUUUGUAAAAUCUUUUUUUUUGUUUCUUAAAUUCGUUACUGCUGGCGCA